This 2582-nucleotide long non-coding RNA is filed under the name Canis lupus familiaris (dog). Its description in RNAcentral is "lncRNA (ENSCAFG00845009253.1)". The record is from RNAcentral. Lineage: Eukaryota; Metazoa; Chordata; Mammalia; Carnivora; Canidae.
UCAGUUUGUAUAGAUAACUAUAUCUUAGUUGUAUUUAAUCCACAACAAAAAACUCUAAUCCUCAAAAUUUUGCAGAUACUAUGGAUAUAUAUAUAUAUAUAUAUAUAUAUAUAUAUAUUUAAGAUUUAUUUAUUUAUUUAUUCAUGAGAGACACAGACUGAGAGAGAGAGAGAGAGAGAGAGAGAGAGGCAGAGAUACAGGCAGAGGGAGAAGCAGGCUCCCGAUGUGGGACUCGAUCCUGCAUCCCAGGAUCAUGACCUGAGCUGAAGGCAGGCGCCCAACUGCAGAGCCACCCAGGCGUCCUGGAUGUUUAUACUUGAUUUUGUUUUGUCAUGAUGCCACCAAUAUCUUGGUUAGAUGGCUGCCACUCAAGGUGAGUAAAUAUGCACAUCUCCUUCCCUUUGUACAGAUUAGGUAGGCUUUGGUUUGGUCAGCCAUUAGUAUUUGUAAACCACCUGUGAAUUGAUUUUGUACUAGACUGUUAGACUGUAUGCUGAGUAAUAGAGCUCCUGGGUGGAUAAGUUCUAGGGUUCUUCUUGGUAUAUAUUUAGACAGCUCAAAAAUGCAAAUAAACAUACUACUCUUCCAGGUAGUGUGGACAAAAGGUUCAGUGCCAUCCCUGACUUAAGAUUUGUCAUUACUUGACUAGGAUUUUCUUAUAUGUGACAGGCGCCCCCUAGUGAAUAAAGGGACUUAAGUUGGCCUCUAUUACAAAACGCUAGAAAAAUAUCUGAAGCUAGUUUAACUAAAGUUCACACUGCAUUAUACAAGUAAAAGAGAGAGGAAAACAAACCAUAAUAGACUCUUAACUAUACAGAAUAAACCGAGGGGAGGUGGGCGGAGGAUGGGCUAAAUGAGUAAUGGGUAUUAAGGAGCACACUUGUGAUGAGCAGUGAGUGUUAUACAUAAGUGAUGAACCACUAAAUUCUACACCUGAAACCAAUUUUACUAUAUAUGUUAACUAACUAGAAUUUAAAUAAAAACUUGGGAAAAAAGAUGCCAAUUUUUGUGCAUGUGAAUACAGAUGAGAGCGGGGAUCUGUUCUCCAUAAAAAGCAUCCAGGAUUUCAUAACACAAAAGUAGUAAUCAGUUUUCUAGAUGAAGAUCAAGCUAAUCUGAACUUUGCUAGGUCAUCAAGGUACAGGAGUAGAUCACUGAUCUUUACUCUCCAGGUAUUACAACUUGAAUUGAUUUUUAUAAAAUGUAUUUUAAAUAUAGAUAUCUAUAUAUCUAUACCUAUAUAUGUCUUCUGAAAUAAGUAUGAUACACAUAACUUGGGGUCGAGAUUUGAGAAACCAUAAUUUCAAUCCAAAAACUUUAAUCUGGUAAAUAUAUUUGAUAAAUUACAUUUUUUAGGUUAAUUUCAGGAAUAGAGCAUUAAAGAAGACAGGUUGCUUGAUAAAAUCAAUUACAUUUAAUAACCUUUUCUCUUCCUAACGCUUCUGUCACUUACAAUAGUUUUUAAGUUCUGAAAUAAAUAUGCUAUAAUUUUGACAUCGUCAUACAUAUUAAUUAUUAUAAGUAAAAUAAUAUAUAAUAAAAUAAAUAGCAUUGGGUUAGGUCCUGAACAAAGAACCAAAAAUAAUUCUUACUCUCUAGAUGUUUCCAAUAUAAAAUAAAAUCAGAGUAUAUAACCAAGUCAACUGGAAAACAAAUAAAUAUGAUAAAAAAAAACAGUAUUCACAUUUUAACAGUGUCAAAGGGAAGAAGCAAUCACACACCUACUUGAUUCAGUGGCCUUCAAAUGGAGCAUCCUAAACCAACAAUCAGAGGAAAGGUUAAACAAAAAGUAGGUGAUGUGUUUAAAUAACAAGUAGGUAAGAAGUUUAUUGGAUCACUCUCAAAGGUCCUGUUUGAUGUCAGAAACUAUCAAGAACAGUAUGUAAUGUGUAUUUGCAGCACUCCAGGGGUUCACUUUUCAGGGGGUAGAUUAGCCAGCCUGUUGCCUCCCACCUUAUCAUCUAAACAUUUUUUAAAAAUAUUUUAUUUAUCCAUUCAUUCAUUCAUGAGAGACACACACACAGGGAGAGAGGCAGAGAACAGGCAGAGGGAGAAGCAGGCUCCAUGCAGGGAGCCCGACGUGGGACUCGAUCCCAGGUUCCCAGGAUCACACCCAGGGCCGAAGGCGGCGCUAAACCUCUGAGCUACCAGGGCUGCUCCUAAACAUUUUUUUUUUAAAUUAAAAAAAAUAUGUUUUCCUAUUUCACCUAGAUUGCCCUUUGCCUUCUGGGCAAUUAUCCUUUUACAUUCACCUGAACUCCUCCAGGUCCAAGAGGACUUCUCCAACUGUAAGUCCCCUCUUCAUCCUCCCUCUUCUCUGAAGCUGUAAGGACCUUAAUUUAACACAAUUCUAUUGCUUUGAUGGUUCCACGUAUAUUCAAAGAGCUUACAAAGCACAUGCAAGCAAAGCAUUCAUUCGAAUUAUUUGCAACCUGGUUAACGAGUAGACCCCAAAGUCCAUUCUCCACCACUGCAGCUUGGAAGACAGUAUCACUUGACUAACUUAGAGGGAUAACUUGAGCAUUGCUCUUGUAUGACAGGCAUGUGCUGGUGGAGGUGAAAAAAAAAAAAACAAAAAAAAA